Molecule: non-coding RNA, 96 nt
Organism: Mycena albidolilacea
Lineage: Eukaryota; Fungi; Basidiomycota; Agaricomycetes; Agaricales; Mycenaceae
Source: the annotation of a GenBank genome assembly
GGUCCGAUGGUGUAGUUGGUUAUCACUUCUGUCUAACAUCCGCAUGCGUCAUGUGAUGUUCACAGGCGGUCCUCAGUUCGAACCUGGGUCGGAUCA